CUACGUGCCAGCAGCCGCGGUAAUACGGAAGGUCCAGGCGUUAUCCGGAUUUAUUGGGUUUAAAGGGAGCGUAGGCUGGAGAUUAAGUGUGUUGUGAAAUGUAGACGCUCAACGUCUGAAUUGCAGCGCAUACUGGUUUCCUUGAGUACGCACAACGUUGGCGGAAUUCGUCGUGUAGCGGUGAAAUGCUUAGAUAUGACGAAGAACUCCGAUUGCGAAGGCAGCUGACGGGAGCGCAACUGACGCUUAAGCUCGAAGGUGCGGGUAUCGAACAGGAUUAGAUACCCUGGUAGUCCUAGCUGUAAACGAUGAUUACUGGGUGUGGGCAUGAAGAGUGUCCGUGCCGAAGCUAAUGCGAUAAGUAAUCCGCCUGGGGAGUACGGCCGCAAGGCUGAAACUCAAAGGAAUUGACGGGGACCCGCACAAGCGGUGGAGCAUGUGGUUUAAUUCGACGCAACGCGAGGAACCUUACCAGAUCUUGACAUCCUG
This 489-nucleotide ribosomal RNA is filed under the name uncultured bacterium. Its description in RNAcentral is "bacterial SSU rRNA". It matches the Rfam family "Bacterial small subunit ribosomal RNA", at positions 501 to 991 of the family's 1533-position model. The record is from RNAcentral.